GGGAAUCUACCUAGUUCUACGGAACAACACAGGGAAACUUGUGCUAAUACCGUAUACGCCCUACGGGGGAAAGAUUUAUCGGAAUUAGAUGAGCCCGCGUAAGAUUAGCUAGUUGGUGGGGUAAUGGCCUACCAAGGCGACGAUCUUUAGCUGGUCUGAGAGGAUGAUCAGCCACACUGGGACUGAGACACGGCCCAGACUCCUACGGGAGGCAGCAGUGGGGAAUAUUGGACAAUGGGCGCAAGCCUGAUCCAGCCAUGCCGCGUGAGUGAUGAAGGCCUUAGGGUUGUAAAGCUCUUUCAGUGGGGAAGAUAAUGACGGUACCCACAGAAGAAGCCCCGGCUAACUUCGUGCCAGCAGCCGCGGUAAUACGAAGGGGGCUAGCGUUGUUCGGAUUUGCUGGGCGUAAAGCGCACGUAGGCGGUUUGUUAAGUCAGGGGUGAAAUCCCGGAGCUCAACUCCGGAACUGCCUUUGAUACUGGCAAGCUAGAGUCCGGAAGAGGUAAGUGGAACUCCUAGU
Molecule: ribosomal RNA, 520 nt
Filed under: uncultured bacterium
Lineage: Bacteria
Description: bacterial SSU rRNA
Rfam family: Bacterial small subunit ribosomal RNA
Source: RNAcentral